RNAcentral lists this ribosomal RNA (356 nucleotides) under uncultured bacterium. RNAcentral describes it as "partial 16S ribosomal RNA". It matches the Rfam family "Bacterial small subunit ribosomal RNA", at positions 338 to 712 of the family's 1533-position model. The record is from RNAcentral.
CCUACGGGUGGCAGCAGUGGGGAAUAUUGCACAAUGGGCGAAAGCCUGAUGCAGCGACGCCGCGUGAGCGAUGAAGGCCUUCGGGUCGUAAAGCUCUGUCCUCAAGGAAGAUAAUGACGGUACUUGAGGAGGAAGCCCCGGCUAACUACGUGCCAGCAGCCGCGGUAAUACGUAGGGGGCUAGCGUUAUCCGGAAUUACUGGGCGUAAAGGGUGCGUAGGUGGUUUCUUAAGUCAGAGGUGAAAGGCUACGGCUCAACCGUAGUAAGCCUUUGAAACUGGGAAACUUGGGUGCAGGAGAGGGAAGAGGAAUUCGGGGUGUAGAGGUGAAAUGCGUAGAUAUUAGGAGGAACGCCGA